Molecule: long non-coding RNA, 1544 nt
Organism: Thunnus maccoyii (southern bluefin tuna)
Lineage: Eukaryota; Metazoa; Chordata; Actinopteri; Scombriformes; Scombridae
Exons: 3
Source: RefSeq, a predicted model, not a curated record
GCUCAAUAUAAGGAGAGGCUACAAUAAAUAAAUAAACAAAUAGACUAAACAAUGAACAUAAUUCAUAACUUCUUUUACACAUCUUGGAGAUAAAACUAUGUUAGGUGGCGUGACCAAACCAGGGAUUUUCAAAGUAAACGCAGCGUGUGUUACGGAGACGCACUGAGCCGCUGCAGACAUCGACGUCACGUACAGGUGUGGGACCUCUGUUGGUAUGCUUGAUGCAUAAACUCAUCCAGUGACAGGAUAACCUGGAAACAGCCAGAGGAAACUAGCAGCUGGUCUACUCACUCGCACCACCACACUGGCUUCCUUUACUUUGAUCAUCUGUUACAGGCUGGCAAGACGUACCAGCACUCAGGGGAAUGGAGGGAUGUGUAGUAAAAGUUGAAGUUAACAGAUUCACACUGAAUUUACUUAAUUUAUUUAAGACAUCUGUUUCAAACUUAACAAAACAUUUUCUUUUAUUACAGAGUUUCCAGAGGACCAGAGUAGAGAGUUUGUGAGACAGCAGGGAAGACAGCUGUGGAUGUAGUUUCACUCACCUCGAAUGCUUUUGCUGAGGUUUCAUGUCUGCUGUCUGAGUCCCUAACUGUACCUACCUGCGGCUCAGUGCGUCUCCAUAACACACGCUGCCUUUACUUUGAAAAUCCCUGGGUUGGUCCCGCCGCCUAACAUAGUUUUAUCUCCAAGAUGUGUAAAAGAAGUUAUGAAUUAUGUUCAUUAUUUAGUCUAUUUGUUUAUUUAUUGUAGCCUUUCCUUAAAUUCAGCUGCGGCCAACACGCUUCAAAACACGCAACUUUUAAUUUGAAGGCGAGCUGUCUCUGUCUCUCCCGACUUCCUGUUUCAAUUUUCUUUGUACAAGUUGGAUAAUGGAACAAGCAGACUUACAGUAUUUAAGCAAUAUAUUUUUUGAUAUUUAUAUUUUAAGCUUUUAUGGAAAUAAUAUUAAUGUAUAACUACAAGCCGGUAUUAUAUGUGUCACUAUACCAUAUUGGAAAAAAAUGCAGACAAAAAAAAAAGAUUUUGUCAUGUUUGCAAUAAUCAGAUUGCUUUUUUUUUCUUCUUUUCUAUUUUUUAAACAUGUGAAAGUUCGAUGUCCCCAAAUCCCUCGUUAGCUAUGUCCCCUCAAGAACACCACGAUCAUCUGCUGCUGGUUUAUUGGAGAUUCCCAGUAACAGCUGAAAGAAGAUCGGUGAUGCAGCCUUUGUCAAAAACGCCCCCAAACUAUGGAACACACUACCGAUAGAUAUCAGGGAGACUAGCUCGCUAGAUACUUUCAAAAGAAAGCUUAAAACCUCUUUCUCUUUGCCUAAGCAUUUAAAUAGCUCUGCACUUGCUCUCUGCAGCACUUUUAAGAUGUUAUAUUUUAAUUUGUUUUAUACGUUCUAUGCUUUAACUUGUUCUUAUCAUAUUUUAUUCUUUGAUUAUUAUGCAUUCUAUGUAUUUUAGUUUCACUUUAUCAAAUAGGUUUUACUUUUAAUUUUCUACAUGGUUUUAUGUUCUUUUAUGUCAUUGUCAUGUAAUUUUUGUUGUAAAGCACU